GGAAACGAUAGCUAAUACCCGCAUAAUAUUAAUUAUUGCAUGAUAAUUGAUUGAAAGAUGCAAGCGCAUCACUAGUAGAUGGACCUGCGUUGUAUUAGCUAGUUGGUAAGGUAAGAGCUUACCAAGGCGACGAUACAUAGCCGACCUGAGAGGGUGAUCGGCCACACUGGGACUGAGACACGGCCCAGACUCCUACGGGAGGCAGCAGUAGGGAAUCUUCGGCAAUGGACGAAAGUCUGACCGAGCAACGCCGCGUGAGUGAAGAAGGUUUUCGGAUCGUAAAGCUCUGUUGUAAGUCAAGAACGUGUGUGAGAGUGGAA
Molecule: ribosomal RNA, 320 nt
Filed under: Streptococcus sp. oral taxon E43
Lineage: Bacteria; Bacillati; Bacillota; Bacilli; Lactobacillales; Streptococcaceae
Description: bacterial SSU rRNA
Rfam family: Bacterial small subunit ribosomal RNA
Source: RNAcentral